UUUUGGGGUUUUUUUUUUUUUUUUUUUUUUUUUUUGCAUUUAGCCUCUCGAAAAUUUUUUUUGUAAAUAGUCUUAUAAAAUUUAUAUUUGUAAAAUUGACACUGUUUUCGUCACACGAGCAUCACGCGAGCAUGAACGGUGGUAUAGGUUAAGUUGAACACGGUGAACUAAUUUAUUCACCGUAUUUAGACAAAGUAAAUGAUUUACCGUAUUCCGUUAUUUUCUUAUCAUAAUAUUAUAUGAUAUUUGAAAUUUUAGUUUCAGAAAGAAUACGAUGAAUCAUUUACUCUAUUCAAAUACAGUGAAUGAUUUACAGUAUUCAACUUAAUCAGUCAUUACGUCUACGUGGCGCUUGCGUGGCGAGAACAGAGUCAAUUUUAUAAAUAUAAAUUUUAUGGACCUAUUUAUAAAAAAAUAAAUUUUGAGGGGCCUAGAAGCAAAACAAACUAUUGGGUUACUUUUUGCCCGACGGUAGUUACGUGGAGAGUGCACCUCUCAGCGUGCCUUCCCACUUGUGAUGGGUCAACGGAUCGAGAUAUUUAAAUUUUAUUUAAAAAUUUAAAAUUUUUAUUUAAAUUUAAAUUUGUAUGUACGAACUUAUUCUAUACUAAAUGAAUAUAAAAAUAAAAAUUCGACUGAUUUGAAUUCGGAUAUGAAUUUUAUCUGUACUCGAUUCGAACCCACAUCCGACCAGAAUCCAGAUUGAUUUUAUAUUACAUAAUGUGUAUAUAAAUAUUGGGUGUUAUCUUUGAAUUUGUAUGUUGAAAAUUUAAGUUUAAUAUGUAGGUUAAAUUAUACAAAAUCUCUUUAUAAAUAUUCAUUUUUUCACUUUUUCUCUUUGAUAUUUUAAAAUCUAUAUUUUGCCUCCUUAAACUUUUUAAAAUAUUUUCAGGGAGUACGUCAUCUAUGGAGAGCACAAAAUGACCGAAGAAAAAAAUAUUUUUUAAUAUAUUUAUAUUAUUUUGAAGAGCAUUUUUAGUAUAAAUUAUAAAAAAUAGACGGAAUAGCAAUAUAACCUUGAUGGAAGGGGCCUAAAUGCAACAAUUUGAAAUGUCGAGGAGGUAAAAUAUAAAUUUUUGCAGGUUAGGGAGGAAAAGUGAAAAACCGAAUAUUUAUAAGGGAGUUUUUUGUGAUUUAGCUUUUAAUGUAAUAUAUUUUGAAAUAUGAUGAAGAGAGUUUUAUAUAUUUUAGAGAAAACUCGCAUUUUCAUUCAGAUGUG
This 1219-nucleotide long non-coding RNA is filed under the name Ananas comosus (pineapple). RNAcentral's name for it is "long non-coding RNA (ACOM_LNC032471)". Lineage: Eukaryota; Viridiplantae; Streptophyta; Magnoliopsida; Poales; Bromeliaceae. The record is from RNAcentral.